Long non-coding RNA from Phocoena sinus (vaquita), 2968 nucleotides. The record is from Ensembl. NCBI's taxonomy places the organism in Eukaryota, Metazoa, Chordata, Mammalia, Artiodactyla, Phocoenidae.
GGCCUCUGCUGGCAGCCUGCCCCUCACAGGGUGGCAAGAGAGCUCUGCCGUGUAGGGAGCCUGUAGCUUUUGUUCCCCGAGGCGUGGGGAUUUGCAGCGAGGUGAGGAUAACGGGGACCAUCACUGGCAGCAUCACAGCCACAUUGAUUGACUUAUUUACCACGCUGCCGCGUCACUUGGCAGCUGCCGGAAACGAGGGGCGGGGAAGGGGAGUGGCGUUUUUUUUUGUUUGUUUGUUUUUUUGCGAUACGCGGGCCUCUCACUGUUGUGGCCUCUCCCGUUGCAGAGCUCAGGCUCCAGACGCGCAGGCUCAGCGGCCAUGGCUCACGGGCCCAGGCGCUCCGCAGCAUGUGGGAUCUUCCCGGACCGGGGCACGAACCCGUGUCCCCCGCAUUGCAGGCGGACUCUCAACCACUGUGCCAUCAGGGAAGCCUGGGAGUGGCGUUUUUAAGUCACAAGUUGGAGUCUUGGGCUGAAAACAUUUGGGGUGGAGAAUUCCAGCUUUUCCGAGGGCUCCCUCUUGGUGAAAACUUCCUUCUUUGCAAGAAGUACGGAUUCCUGAAGAUUCCUGGUGGGGAGGGGUGGAGGAAGCAGGGGACCAAACGAGAAGGAGGAGGUGUAAUUAUAGAGGCCUGAAGCGUCACCUUUUAACUGCAGAAGAGCCAGAAGCUUUUCACCUCAGUGCGUUCCAUCUCAGUGCUCGGUAGGCUAUGCCCUUAGUUACUCCCUUGUGACUGCCACAGCCUGAAACAUUUUGGGGAACGCUUCUCCUUCCAUUGCUUUCAUAGCCCCUUGAGCCGUUCAGAUGAACUGAUGCUGUUAACUCUAGUCACACGGAAGCAAGCAGCACCGUGCAGUUUGCCUCCCCUUUUCUGGACUCCAUUUGACUGUAACUCCGUUGGGCUGUGUCAAAAAGUCAAACCUAAUCCCCAGCAGGGCUUUGCCACCCCUGAGACCUUCAGGAGACUGUGCUGCAGGCUCUGAGGGAGCCCCCCAAGGGCAGCAGCUGCCUGGUUGGAGAAGGGGAGGGUCCUGAGGUGCUUGCUCUGAAGGCCGGUACCUGGCGGGAUGGCCAAGUUCUGGAGUGCGUGUUUCCGAGUCAGUAUUGAUUAUCUUUCCAGUCAUGCCUUGUGCGGUUCUGAGAUGAAGGGUAGAUGGCAGGAUCCUGAGGACCCAGGGGUCUCCUGCCUUGUUGGGUGGGGCCUGUCUGUGCUCAGGGGAAGCCCGUCCCUGUCUGGGAGAGCCUCGGCCCUUCGGUGGUAGCAUGGUCAACUUUACUUGAAGCUCCCAGGUGCCAAACCAUUCAGUGCCUUGGCUGUCUAUCCCACUGCCUUGGAAGAUGGAUUCUUCUCAUCUCUGAGCCUUGAGUUACUUAGCCGCUUCCUCAUCUACUCCUGGUGUUGGGACCAAGCCUCCAGUGUCUCCGAAUAGCCCUGUCCUCGCUGGAAGCAGCUCUAGGGCUGCCCCGCCUCUGGGUAAAACCAUCACCAAUUCUUGGUGUCUUGGUUGGGGGCUCACUGGGCCGUGCUGACGACUCCUCUGGUUCUGUGACAUAGUACGUCUGGGUCCAGGAGGGGACGGGAAGCUCUGCCUUUGUGUGGUGACCCCAGCGUUUAGCCAACCGAGUAUCUGAAUUUGAGCUUUCUAUGUGGCCAAUCCCGGACUUGGUAUUUUAAGAGUCACUGGAUCUCUGAUUCCAUUGGAGAGUCAGAUAGAGCCAUUAGGCCAGAAAUCAUGACAUGAGUCACCUGGGUACCCUUUGCUGUCCAGGGAGGCGACAUGGAUGAGCAGCGUGGGGCAAUGUUGGUCGUGUGUACCUGGGAGUCUCUCGUCUUCAGAGAUAACCCGGUGGUGCUUGCUUCUCCCAGGCUGCGCAGGAAUUGUCCAAGGACCAUGUGUUUAGGGAACAGGCAUUGUGUCGUGGGAAGGCCUGAUCCCAAGCUCCUUCACCCCAGUGGAGCUUCUGCUCCCUGGGUUUCUUCUUCCUGGGCAGCCUGAGACCAAUAGGGGCAGAGAGCUGGCAGUGUGUAUACGGAAGAUGCAGUGUUGUGACCUCAGGUGUCCUUUGAUUUGGAAUGGAUAGGGUAGGCCCUCAAAGAGGCAGCGGUCUCUGAAGAACAGGCUGGGGAGGGUGGCAGGGAAAGGUCCCCGGUUCACCCUUCAGAACCUGUUGUCUCUGCAGCAACCCACUGUGGUCUUGGCUGCUGGGCAGUCAAGGACACUGGCUUCUUGCCUCUCCUGGGCUGGCUUGGACACUUGUCUCUGUGUCCAGGGUGGGUUGCCAGUCUCAUGAGGCCACUAGGUCAGGCUAAGGCUUGUGUGCGGGAGGGACUGGAGCCCAGCUCGUUUGUGUAUCACCUCCUUUGCUGUCCUGGUGAGGUUUCCCUGAUUUGACAUCCUUGACCAGCACUAGGGCCCAAGGCUAUUGGAGGGAAGUAGUAGCCUCUUGCAGGGAAGUGUUUUCCUCUGCCCUGGAGUCUCCCACCUGCCUGUCCACAACCAUGUGGGUGAGGCGGGCUGGGGAGAUUCUGGGUCCCGGGGCUGGGCUUCUGAGAAGGGCUGACUGGACCUCUCUGCCACUCCUCUCCUUCACCCUGACCUCAGGGUGGAGUGGGGAAAGUCUCGGUGUCCGGGCAAACGAGAGGGAGAACAGGCUGAGGAAACCGUCGGGGUGAGCCUGGCGCUGAGUCCCCUUUGAUCUUGGUCUCUGGGCCUUCUUCGGCCCUCCUGGGGCAGGGGGCUGGCUACAGGUCAGCAUCUGGCCACCCUUAGAGGCAGUGAGUGCCUAGCCAGUCCUGCCUUAGGAACAGAGUGAGUGGUAAAUAAAGACGUAGGCUUUUCUUUUGUCUCUUAGAUGCUUGCGCUUCCCCCUUUUCUUUCUACUGCCCUGCCUUUACUGUUAGCAGUUACAUAAAUGACCACAUACUCUGUACUUUGCUGUAAAUAAAGACUGAACAGAAAAGAACCC